Non-coding RNA from Triticum aestivum (bread wheat), 134 nucleotides. Lineage: Eukaryota; Viridiplantae; Streptophyta; Magnoliopsida; Poales; Poaceae. The record is from Rfam.
UACAUAUUCCCUCCGUUUGAAAAUACUUGUCAUCAAAAUGAAUAAAAAAGAUGUAUCUACACAUAUUUUAGUUUGAGAUACAUUUCUUUUUAUUUAUUUUGAUAACAAGCAUUUUCGGACAGAGGGAGUACAAC